UACGUAGGGCGCGAGCGUUGUCCGGAUUUAUUGGGCGUAAAGAGCUCGUAGGCGGCUUGUCGCGUCGUUCGUGAAAACCCGGGGCUCAACUCCGGGCUUGCGGGCGAUACGGGCAGGCUAGAGUUCGGUAGGGGAGACUGGAAUUCCUGGUGUAGCGGUGAAAUGCGCAGGUAUCAGGAGGAACACCGGUGGCGAAGGCGGGUCUCUGGGCCGAUACUGACGCUGAGGAGCGAAAGCGUGGGGAGCGAACAGG
This 253-nucleotide ribosomal RNA is filed under the name uncultured bacterium. RNAcentral's name for it is "partial 16S ribosomal RNA". It matches the Rfam family "Bacterial small subunit ribosomal RNA", at positions 524 to 776 of the family's 1533-position model. The record is from RNAcentral.